This 11560-nucleotide long non-coding RNA is filed under the name Panax ginseng (ginseng). RNAcentral describes it as "long non-coding RNA (PGIN_LNC000642)". The record is from RNAcentral. Lineage: Eukaryota; Viridiplantae; Streptophyta; Magnoliopsida; Apiales; Araliaceae.
AAAAAAAUAAAAAAGAAAAACACAUAUAAGGUUGUCUUGGAAUAGGGAAACACAUUUUUACUGUGACACCCUCAAAUUCGGGUUAUUUUUAACUCGAGUUUGGUGCUCACGAUACUAAUAUACUCAUUCAUACUAAAAGAAAACUGUCUUAUAUUACAUAAACUUAAAUCCCAGGUUCCAUAGACUUUUACAUAACUUACAAACCGAAUAUCAUUACACAACAUAGUGCUAAUGGUGUUUAUUACAUUUACUACUUAAAUAAGCACAUGCGCUUAAUAAAAAACUAUUCAACAACUUUGCCCUUUCCUUUGUCUUUUUCAGAUGGACCAACAACCUCAGUUUUAACUGAAAACAUUAUAUUUAACGCAAGGGUGAGCAACAACUUGCUCAGCAAGGAAAUAAGCAGUUAAAUAUAAUGGAACAAAAAUAUUUAUAUCAAAGAGGUUACAAUGCAAUAGAUACUGAACAAUAUAAUUCUUUAAAAGUGUUGAGUAUAAAAAUCAGGCUAUAGCAUGUUGUAAGGUCAAAUGACCAAUGAACUCUGUACUAGAAUUAACAGUAAUAACACUGCAAUCCAUAGAUACAAACAAUUAUAAAAGCUAUUUUAUAUCCUAGACUCGUACUUUAGGGGAUCAGCCUAAGUACCUUACAUUGUGCACAAUAUAAUAGUCUAAUGACACUUUACAUGUCCUUCGAAAUCAUAUGUCCGGUACAAUGCCCCUAUAAAAGGGUUGUUCGUUCACAGCAUUAUAUAAGAAUCCAUACCACAACAAAAAUGGUUUGGAAAAUAUAAACUGAUAAUUUCAUAAAUAAUAUCAAUAUAUCUCAACAGUUGUCUAACCGAAGUAAUGGUAUUGACAUACUUUCAAUGUAAACUCAUUCAAGAUAGAAAAAUUCAAUAUACUAUUUUUUUGAAGCUGAUUGGAAUAAAAAAGGCUAUUUAACCUUAUAUUAAUCAUAAAUAAGGUGAGACAGUUCAGAAUUUAGAGAACCUGACCAUUGCAAAAUACUUGCUCAAUAAAGAGUACGAGUUAGAAAAUUGCCUUGUUUGUAGUCUAUUGUUAGGAUUUCAGCAGUGUUCUCACAAAUCCUACACAGUUAUUUACAUUAACAAGCAUGUUAGCCACAUAGCCAAGUCAUAUAGUUUGUAAGCUCACAUAUCACGUAGUUUCAGUGAUCAUGGUUGUAGUUAAAUUCCUAUAUUUGAUAUAUUUUUCAAAUAUCUCAUCUAUGCUCUUAUCAUAGCCAUUAUUCUCUUAAAUGGGGUCUAGUAUGAUAAUAACAUGCACACACAACAUAUAUAUAGUUUACAUCCUAUUAAGAUUUUAACACGAGUGAUUCAUGCCUUUUUUACAGAAAUUCUAGCAUACAAGAUGCUUUUGUAGCUUAUUUCAUGUUUUUUAAAGGUAUUUUCAAUUUGCAUGGUCAACUUUUGUUUAUCCCAUGAUUUAUAGCUUUUAUUUUCAUACUAAGGCAUUAAUUAUCUUUGUUUUUCUAUAUUAUACCAAAACAGCCCCUUUUUAGGUUAAAAUAAUCUCUUUCUAUAUCUUUUCAUUAGGUGUACCAACUGGUUCCUUGUUGUUCUUUUAUGCCAGCAACCAAGCUUGGCUUAGCCCCAUGAGGCUUAGCUAAGCUUGGUGUGGCCACUUUUGGCCUCAUAGCCCUAUUUUAAACCUGCCUUAGCCACAACAGUCUCAACCCAUCAAACAGGUACUGUUUUUGUAAUAUAAAUUUUAACUCCUAUACAGAUCAUUGUAAACACAUUAUCAGGCCAGUGCACAAGUUUACUUAGCUAUGAAAAUUACUUUCUAUGUCCAAUUUUCCUUAGUUUAUCUUCAAUACUAAUUAACUAACUAUCCACAAUUGCCAUAGCAGUUGCUUGUUAUGCCCAGCUGCUGUUGCCUAAAGGCAGUAGCUCCUUCUUUUCCAAUCCUAUGUUCCUUUAAGUCUUACCAUGAAUCUAUAAUACUUCAUGAGGCAAUCAGUCAAUAAGGUUUGACAAUGAGGAGUUUAAUGCAGUUUAAAAUGUUUUUAAUUUUAACUGAGUUUAGCAAGCUUUACACUGCCUUAGCAGUUAGCUAAAUUAAAACCCAUUGCAAGAACUUUUAGCUGCCUAUUAUCUCAUCUUAACCUACUAAUUGUAGUGAAAAAGGAAGUAAACCCAGUUGCUAAAAUGUUCCAGCAACUAAUUGCUGCUGCUACAUGUUGUGCCGAAAGACAGCAGUUGCUGUUUGCAGCUAAUUACUGCUGCUGCUAAUAGCAGCAGCCCUUGCCCUUGCAUUAUGUCAUAAUGUAGUAUAAUAAUUAUUCACAACUAGUAGCCUUUCUAGUGCCUCGACUGUAAACCACCAAGAGUUCUAGCUAGUGUUUUUCAAACCUAUUACUACUGCUGUUUGCUGUUGUUGCUGCCAAUGGGUAGCAACUAUCAUUUCUUGACUAUUGCUCCAAAUAGCUUACUAUCUUUACAUACCUAUUUAAUUACCAUAAGCUUUUUGGUCUACUAUAAGUCUUGCAUUCACAUACUAUCAUGCUUCAUCAACUGCAAUAACUAAACAAAAGGGCAGGGACUUAACUGACUUCUUUUACUUUCAAUCCCAAGCAUGCUAGAUUCUUUUUAUCUGUGUGUUGUGGUAGUCACUGCUGUCAUAGGCAACAAUUCUUAAGCCUCUCCCAGCCCUAACUUUGUUAUAUUUAGUAAUCUUGCAACCAAAGUUAAUCUUGGUCCCCAUAGUAGUGUGACCUAAGUAUAACAUCAACCUACUAACAACCAUGCCAAGUUCCUAUCCUAACCUUUCACGGCUGCCUUAAAACAGUGUGCACAAGGGCUUGACAUGAUAACUAUUUCACAUUUGAUUUUAGCUAAGAUUUGUUUUUUACUUCUAUUUAGUGUGCUUAUACAUUUCAAUUUUUUUCCAUCUCUUGAAAUAAAAAAUCAAUUCCCAGCCUUAUGUUGGCUUAAUAAUUGAUUUUGGUAAGGCAAUCCACUUGGGACUUUCGUCGAGCAUGUGGUGUGCACAGUUUCAAUUUACUAGUGCCAUAGCUAUUUGCUUGUGUUAGAAAGCCAACUUUACCCUCCUUAUUUCUCCUCGGCCCAACUUAGCUCCUUGUGCCUAAGUUCAGUCCAUACUAUCAUAGCCAUAGCAUAGUAGUCAAUUUAAUACAACAACUUAAUAUAUCAACACCUAUCAUGUUAACAGUCAGUCAUGAUAGCAACAUAGCAUGUCCUUCAGUUAGAUCCUACAGCAGUUUUACAUAGCAGCUCAAAAAUCCAUAUAACAGUCUUUGAGUUUAUAUCAAAACUAAAUAGGCAAGGUUCAGUACUACAUCAUCAAAAUAGUCUAUAUAGAGUUAUAGACAUGGUUUAAUACCCUUGCAUCAAAACAGUACCAAGGAAUGAGAUCUCUGUAUUUCUAAAGCAUGAACCUCUUACAUAUUAUAUGUUCAUGGUUUAAAACAUCUAAUAGUAAGGUUUUCAUGUUUUAGGCCAAAACAGUCCCUCUUGGUACAAGGUAGCAUGAUUUGAAAAACAACUAGAUAUCAAGGUAACAUGCUUAGGCAACAUGGAAACAAGGACUGUCUAUAAUUAAUAUAUUAGAAGCAAGGCAUGAUCAUCAUAAUAAAACUUCCAAUAACAGUCCAUAUAGCAUUGUCAUAGCACAGUAGUGAAUUUAAGACAUAACAGUCCCUCAUGCCUAUUCCAAGCUUUUUAGGCAAGGUUUUGACAUUAAAUCACCAAAACAGCCAUGAAGUUUACAACCCAAAGGUUUCCACAUCAUGUAUAUGCUAUAUAAUAUAUGUUGAUGCUUUAAAGAGCCUACAUACAAGGCUUUCAACUUUAGUUCAAAACAUCCCUUCAUAGGCUUCAAAUUAAUACAAGAAAGCAUGAUUUGGAAAAAUCUAGUUACCAAGAUAACAUGAUUAAGCAACAAGUAAACCGAAAUUGGUUAUUUACAUAAUAUCUAGUAGGUAUUUCUUUCAUCAAGAUGGCCUAUUUUAGCUACUUCUUAGACAGUCCAUGACCACACCUCUUUAGACAUUAACAUUCAUAUUGUGAAGCUUUAAAGUGUCCUCAUGAGAAGCUUUUAAAGAUUGAGGUAGUUAUCCCUAGUUAUAACACAGUAAGUAUACUAGAAACAAUUCAUAAAUAUCAUAAGAAAAGCUUCUAAUAACAGUCACAAGGAAGCUUACUAUUUCAGUCCAUUCUUACUUGCUUUGUCAAAGUGUUUAUCUAUCUUAGAUUGUCAGUUAUUUUGAGACAUGUUAAGGUCAAGCAUAGAGUAUACUUGUAUAAGCAAUUUGAUACUAGUUUCGACUCUAAAUCAUAGUUAAUAUUCAAAGUUACAAAAUUAGUCCUUAGCUUGGCAAUUUAUCAAACAUAUAGAGGGCAGUUUAUAUAUUUGCACUUAAUACAUAAUUCUUAGCUUAUUGACCCCAACCUUAUGGCUUAAAACAACAAGAAGCAUAGGACCAUACUAAACAGUCCCAAUCACAGCAGUUCCAAUAACAUUAAAGCAGUCAUUAUAUUGUAUUAAUUCCAAUAUAACAGCCACUCAUGCUACGUAGUCAUCAACAGUUCAGUUGCUACCCAUUAGAGAAACAGGAACGACUGGAAAAAGGAUUGGGGGCCAGAAUUGGCAUACUUUGUUGAUUCGAAGGUUACAAGUGGGUUGAGCUGUUCUGUUUCCUUUUGACCCUCUCAGCCGUAACUCUUCCAUUCUCACUCUGUAUGAGUGAUACUGUUAAUUUCUUUUGGGACUCUGCUAAGUGAUGAAGCUAAUUGGUUUUAGGCAAUGAGCUUGGCCUUUUAUAGCUGAGCUUAGCUUCUUCUACUGUUAAUCCUAUCACCCCUAGUUGGCCCCUACACAGCCAUCAUUUCUAGUCUAGCUCACAUAGUCCCUUCACAGCCACCCUAGUAGACCUUAGACCUUAGCUUACUUGAUAUGCCUUAUCCUCUGCAAGUUUGGCUGACCUGUUAUUUGUCUCUAUCUAAGCUAACUUACCUGCUAACUAUAACCAAUAUCUUCUAAUUGCUUAAUCACGUUUGAACUGAAAUAGUUCCCUUUUUCUCCUUUCAAUGGGCUGCUGAAAUGGACCCUCAAUUAGGUAGAGUAUGGAUAUGGAAGUUGGGCCUCAUACAGAAGUAAAAUGCAUACUUCCAAGAAUUAUGUAGGAGGCUUGCAAGUAUAUACUUGGGUUGGCCCAAUUUAGGAAUAUUGGUCUUUUAAAGUAGGAUUAAUUACAUAUAGUAGUACCUUUUUAAAAAUAAUUACAAAAAUCAUACAUCCAUAAAAUAAUUACAAAAAUACUACAAUUCAUCAUUUUUAUUUACAAUACUAAUACAAUUAAAAGUCCUUAAAUUAAGGGAUUAGUAUUAAUGGGCUGACAUGACAAAUUAGUUUUCAUCUUCCUCAAACAUUCCUUUCUCUUUCGGUCUCUCUCUCUCUGCCCUUAAUUCUCGUUCGGUUUCUCUCUCUCCGCCCUUACUACUUCUCUCUCUCAUCUUGAAGCCAUUCGUCGUCAGCGGACUGAAUCUACUUCUUUAGACGAUGGAGUUCUUGCUUUGGUAGAACCGUCUCCUUUUGGAAUCUACCAUACGGUAUGUUCAUGGUUGAAGUGUUGUUGUCAUACUAUGAAUCUGUACUUCUGGCGACAUUCUGUUUAUGUUAAUUUUUUUAUUGAAUGAAUUUUCCUUUAUCUCUAUGACUGGAUUAUUUGUGAUAAACAUCAUUUAACAGCAUAAUAUUUGCUAAAGUGGAUAAUUAUUUUCAAACUGUUUAGGCUCUUAACAUAUAUAUUUCCUGCCUAAUUUCAAUAAUCUUGGCUAAGACUUAAGUUAUUGUGUGAUUAGCUUUGAAGUUUACUUAAUAAGUUGUUUUAGAUGAUAACUUACAUUGAAACCACAAGAUAUCUAUAAAGGCGGUUGAUCUCUUUUCUUUCUGGUGCUUUAAAUUUAGUUUACUUGGAAAACAAUGGCAUUGUCGAUCUUUUUGACAAUUGAAAUUGGCCGUCAGUUUUUAGUUUACUUUAUCGUUCCUAUUUGUUAUGACCAGACCAAGUAAUAAUGAUCAUUAAUGUAUUUGUAAAUGGACUACUUUCAUUUGUGAUGAAUCAUUGCUGCACUUUGUUUGCAAAGGUGAUGAUUUUCUGCACUUAAGAAACUCGAGUAGCAGAAAUGAAUCUCAUCCUUUUUGCUUGAUAUGCAUGGUAGGAAGUAAUAUGAAAAAAAUGCGUUAUAGUUGGUUUCUAUACUUCGUAACCGACCACCCGGGUAUCCAAAAACCAAGCAUUUGCCUCAAUUUCCACCUUCAAUCAACAACAAAUUCCGGCCACGAAGAAUCGAGUCGUGUUGGGUGAGCUCACUAACUUGGUUAAUGUUGGUUUCGAUUUUGCUGAUAAGACUCAGACUCCCGAACCCAAAUUGAAAAGGAAAGUGAAAAAGGCUAUUUUGUUCAGAAGCCGACAUGAAGUUCACUUAUAAGAUUUGUAUCCUCCUACUUCCCAGCUCCUCAUCAACUCAUAAACCCAUGCACUGAUGAAUCUAAUAUCUUAACUAACUAUUUAGAAUAACUCAUUUCUUGAACUUAAGCUGUUGCUUUUAUGCUAUAAUCUCUCAUGAGUUUGCUGGAUAAGAUGUCUCAGUAAUGUUCGAUUUCAAAAUUUCACAUCUUUAUCAUUCAAAAAAUAUCUAAGAUGUGUAUUGAUUUUGUGAUUUCACCUUAUAAGCAUAGACUAAUAAAGUAUAUAGUCUCACAUUGGUUGAGGAUGGUUGGUAUGACACCUUAUAAGAAGUAUAUAGUCUCACAUUGGUUGAGGAUGGUUGGUAUGACACCUUAUAAGACUACCAGUUAUAAUCUUAUUUUUAUGCGGACUGUUGUAGUAUGAUACUAUGAACUACAUUAUACCUGCAUUAACCUAUUUUUAUCAAAUUCUGCUUUCAUUAUCUCCCAACUUACAGCUGGAAAAUCAAUAUUCGGAAGCCUUCUGUGUGACACCCCCAAAUCCGGGUUUUUCUUUAACUCGGGUUUGGUGCUCACGAUUCUAGAAUACCCAUUCAUACUAAAAGAAAACCGUCUUAUAUUACAUAAACAUCGUACUUAACUCCCAGGUUCUAUAGACCUUUACAUACGAUACAACCAAAUAUUAUUACAACAUAGUACUAGCAAUAUUUAUUACAUUAUAUUUAAAGCAAGGGUGAGCAACAACUUGCUCAACAAGAAAAUAAGCAGUUAAAUAUAAUGGAAAACACAAUAGAUACUGAACAAUAUAAUUCUUUAAGAGUGUUGAGUCUGAAAAUCAGGCUUUAGCAUGCUAUAAGGUCAAAUGACCAGUGAACUCUGUACUAGAAUUAACAGUAAUAAUACUGCAAUCCAUGAAUACAAACAAUUAUAAAAACUGUUUUAUAUCCUAGACUUGUACUUUAGAGGAUCAGCCUAAAUACCCUAUAUUGUGCACAACAUAACAGUCUAAUAACACUUUUCAUGUCCUUCAGAAUCAUAUGUCCGGUACAAUAUGCCCCUAUAAAAGGGUUGUUCGUUCAUAGCAUUAUAUAAGAGUCCAUACCAUAACAACAAAAAUGGUUUGGAAAACAUUAAUUGAUAAUUUCAUGAAUAAUAUCAAUAUAUCAACAGUUGUCUAACCGAAGUAAUGGUAUUGACAUACAUUCAAUGUAAACUCUUUUAAGAGCAAAAGUUCCAUAUACUAUUCUUUUGAAGCUGAUUGGAAUAAAAAGGCUAUUUAACCUUAUACAGAAAUGAUCAAGUAAAGAAUCUCUUACUUUCUUAAAAUGAGGGACUUUUUUUUUUUUGUUUUUUUUUUAAAACUAAAAAAAAAAGUUUAAUAUUUUAUGGAACUGAAAUUUUUUCAUAAUACAAUGUUUUGGGCGUGUUUUAAAUACCUAUACCAAAAAGUGGUGGUACAGUCUGCCCAGUCUGUACAUACAUGUUUUGUUAUACAUACUCAAAUCACACCCAAAACACUGUAUUAUGAAAAUAUUUCAGUUCCAUAAAAUAUUAAACUUUUUUUUUUUAUUUUUGUUUUUAAAAAAAAAGCAAAAAAAAAAAAGUCACUCAUUUUAAGAAAGUAAGAGAUUCCUUACCUGAUCCUAACCCUAACCCUAACCUUAUAUUAUUCAUAAACAAGGACAGACAGUUCAGAAAUUAAAGAACCUGUCAACUAUAGAAUAGUUGCUCAAUAAAGAGUAAGAGUUAGAAACUUGCCUUGUUCAUAGUCUAUUGUUGGGAUUUCAGCUUAAUUUGAAGUGUUCACACAAAAUCCUACACAGUUAUUUAUAUUAACAAGCAUGUUAAUCACAUAGCUAAGUUAUAUAGUUUGUAAGCUUACAUAUCACAUAGUUUCAGUGAUCAUGGUUGUAGAUAAAUUCUUAUUUUUGAUACAUUUUUCAAAUAUAUGCUUACAACAAGCAAUAGGAAUCACAUUAUCAUUAGUAUUUAACCAAGUAUGUUAGCCACAUAUUUAAGUCAUAUAUCAUGUAUGGUCAAUCUAUAGUCUUCCUCAUAAUUUAUAGAUUCAUUUUGACACACUAAUUCAUCAAUUAUCAUUGUUUUCUUCUAAGAUGCUAAAACAGCCCAUUGAGGCUUUAAUAUUUUCUAUGUAUGACUGCACUACCAACUGCUACUGCUAUUGUUGCUGUGCUGUCAACUAUUAUUUUCUUGCAUACCUAUUACCAUAAGCUGUUUGGUCAGGCUACAAGUGCUGCAGUCACAUGUCAUCAUGCUACAUCAAUUAUAGUAAAUAAACAAAAGUGCAUGAACUUAACUAACUAACUGCAGCCCAAAGAAAACAAACUCAGUUGUCAAAAUGACAAUGCAGUCAUUUACUUGAAGUUGCCAAGGACAGCAACUAUCCGAAGCCAUUUGCUACUGUCAUUAGCAGCCUCCCCUGCUCCUUAAUUCAUUUCCAGCAAUCCUCUAACCUCAGUUUUGUUAGAUUUCUAGGAACAGACCUCUUGACUAUAAUCUUUUAGAGUUUUAAAGUUAUCCCAAUUGGCCUAUCAAAGGGAUAUUAAGCUUUGGCUCCUUGGUUCAGUUACUGUUUUAACAGAGUGGGCAAAUGAGUUGUCAAGCUAAUAUUACUUAGCCUAAAAACUGCACUAUGCUAAGAUUUUACUAUGCCAAAACAUUACAGUCAUCACAUAUAUUGGGUAAAUCAAGUAAAUAGUUUACUUGUUCUACUAUCUUAGCCAUAGCAUGUCAGUUAUAUCCACACCUAUCAUUUUAACAGUCAGUUAUGAUAGCAACAUAGCAUGUCAUUUAGUUAGCAGUUUGCAUAACAACUCAAAAAUCUAUAUAACAGUCUUCGAGUUUAUAUUAGAACUAAAUAGGCAAGGUUUAGUACUACUUCAUCAAAACAGUCUAUAUAGAGCAUUAUAGACAUGGUUAAAUUACAUUUUUCUAUAACAGUCUCAGGUAUUCAAAAGCUCAAUUUGCAAGGAUUUUUACUUUCUAUAUAUGUUAUAUAUUCAAUAUACUUGGCAAAAAUUUCACUGGAUAUAGACUUAUUCCAAAUAGUUUUAACACAAAAUAGUUCAACAUCUCAACCAUGUAGUGACUGCAGCAGCACUGUGUGCCCAGCAGCACGCUGGUGCACCACUACAACUGCUGCUGCCAGCAGUUAUAUAUAUAUAUAUAUACAUAUAUAUAUAUAUAUAUAUAUAUAUAUAUCAACAGUCCCCCUUUUUGGUCAUUUUAUCUCAUACAAACCAAGGAUCCAAUCAAAGUCAGUUGUUGACAUAUUAUAGCUGGUAUAGCAACUAUUUUUCACAGAUUAUUAACACUCCAAACUGAAGUCUUAGAGAAAUAGAAAAAGGGAGUAAAACUAUCCAGUUUAUCAAAAACAGAGUUUUCACAUGACUUAACAUACUAAUUCUAACUUUUCAUUUUUAACAAGAAAUUAAGUUUCAUUCUAACUUGACAUACCUCAAACACUCUAAUUAUUACCACAUAUGUUAAAUGAUUCAAGUCCAUGCUUUACUUUGUUAUAACAGUAAAUUUUCAGUCAAAACAGUUCACAUAGUCCAAUGACAGUUGGUAAAGCAACACAGGUAAUGCUAGUAGUCAGUCAUCAUAGCAGUGUGUGUAGCAUAGCAUACCAGUCUAUUAUAAUAACAGUCAGUAUAACACAAGGAUGAUGCUAACAGUUAUUCACGUCUCUUUUAGGCCCUUUUAGCAAGGUUUAUUAAUAUACUGUACCAUCCUAAGCACAUGAACUCACUCUUUACAAUUAUAGGCAUACAUCUUAGUAGGCCAUGGUUUAAUUACCUUAUAUAAACAAGGUUUAGAACUAAAUUAUCAAAACAGCCUUUAAGUUUUCAAUCACAAGGAUUAUCACAUUAUGUUAAUGUUAUAUAAUCUAUGUUCAUGAUUUAAAGAGCCUAUAUAAAAGGCUUCUAGUUUUGGGUUUAAAACAGCUCUCUUUUAGGAUUAAAUUUCAAGAAUAAACAUGGUUUACCCUCAUGUUUCCAAGGAUAGCAUGAAUAUGCAAUAUAAAAGCUUAUACCAUCUUUCUAUAUGGUAUUUAACAUGUAUAGCAUAUAUUUGGAUGUCAUAGAAUAGAUUACACCAUAACAGUCCUCUAAUCUAGCAUACAAGAUUCUUUAGACAGUAACUCAGUAUAGUCGAAUGCUUAGUUCAUGUAUGGACUGAUAUACAACCACUUAUAGUCAUCUUAUGUUCAUGUAAAACUGAACUAUUAGCACCUUUGUAUCUUUAGGACUACAAUAUAAUAUUGGCAUAGGAUUAGUCCUGUUUGAACUCCCAUUCAACACAUUUGACACCAACUGCCCUCUCAUGAGCAUUUCAUCAUACAGUUGGUGUGCAGUCUCUACUUUUCAUCAUAUUACAUAUGUUAUUAGCUUAGUGUUACUAGCCUUAUGGCUUUAAAACAACAAGAAGCAAAUAGCAAAACUUAGCAGUCCUAAUCACAGCAGUUCUCAUAGCAAUUAAAACAGUCAUUAUGCUAAUUAAUUCGAUAGCCAUCCUAACCAUUUAUCAGUCCAGUUGCUACUCGGAACGGAUGGAAAAGAUUAGAAAGGCCAGAGUUGGCUUACCUUGCUGAUUCGAAGGUUCUCAGUGGUUGGAGCUGCUCGGUUUCCUUUUCUCUCUCAGCCGUAACUCUUCCACUCUCACUAUCAAUCGGCCCUUUCUUUUCCUUUCUUACUAUGCUAGAGACUUGGUAAGUCAGUUAAAGGGGUGGGACAUGAGGUUAAAUAGCCGAACUUUUCUUUCUCUGGUCAUACCAAGCUCUGCCCCUAGCCGGCCCCUUCCAGCCUCCCUACCAAGCUGAGUGUAAUCAUUACUAGCCUAUUUCCUUUGGCUCCUUCCAGCCACCCUAGCGAGCAUAGCUUUUCUCCUAUACGCCUUAUCCUCUGCAAGCCUAUUUCACCUGCUACACCUUAUCCUUUGCAGUUCUGUCUUACCUGCUGGUUGUCUGCUAGCUAAACUAGUUUACCAACUAAUAACUAACUUAGACUCUGCAAAUGCUUGCUACCUGACUACAUAUUCACGUUAUGCCACUGAUUUUUUUCUUAUUUAGUUUAAAACAG